UGAGGAAUUUUGGUCAAUGGACGGAAGUCUGAACCAGCCAAGUCGCGUGAAGGAAGGCGGCCCUAAGGGUUGUAAACUUCUUUUGUAAGGGAAUAAAGUGCGUUACGUGUAGUGCAUUGCAAGUACCUUACGAAUAAGGAUCGGCUAACUCCGUG
RNAcentral lists this ribosomal RNA (155 nucleotides) under uncultured bacterium. Its description in RNAcentral is "partial 16S rRNA". It matches the Rfam family "Bacterial small subunit ribosomal RNA", at positions 355 to 507 of the family's 1533-position model. The record is from RNAcentral.